UAGAGCGAUGCCUGAAAAAGGACUAUCUUGAUGUGAUAAAUUAUGUUAAAUUUAACUCUCUCUAU
This 65-nucleotide transfer RNA is filed under the name Diaphorina citri (Asian citrus psyllid). RNAcentral describes it as "tRNA-Ile". Lineage: Eukaryota; Metazoa; Arthropoda; Insecta; Hemiptera; Psyllidae. The record is from RNAcentral.